UUAUCGUUUUUUUAUUUCCCGGCUUAGUAUUAGAUAUAAAUAUACCUAUCGAAUCUUAGUAAUAAAGGACAGUGAAAGAAAUGA
Molecule: transfer RNA, 84 nt
Filed under: Pueraria alopecuroides
Lineage: Eukaryota; Viridiplantae; Streptophyta; Magnoliopsida; Fabales; Fabaceae
Description: tRNA-Tyr
Source: RNAcentral